RNAcentral lists this ribosomal RNA (429 nucleotides) under bacterium. RNAcentral's name for it is "partial 16S ribosomal RNA". It matches the Rfam family "Bacterial small subunit ribosomal RNA", at positions 355 to 776 of the family's 1533-position model. The record is from RNAcentral.
UAGGGAAUCUUCGGCAAUGGGGGCAACCCUGACCGAGCAACGCCGCGUGAGUGAAGAAGGUUUUCGAAUCGUAAAGCUCUGUUGUAAGAGAAGAACGUGUGUGAGAGUGGAAAGUUCACACAGUGACGGUAACUUACCAGAAAGGGACGGCUAACUACGUGCCAGCAGCCGCGGUAAUACGUAGGUCCCGAGCGUUGUCCGGAUUUAUUGGGCGUAAAGCGAGCGCAGGCGGUUUAAUAAGUCUGAAGUUAAAGGCAGUGGCUUAACCAUUGUUCGCUUUGGAAACUGUUAAACUUGAGUGCAGAAGGGGAGAGUGGAAUUCCAUGUGUAGCGGUGAAAUGCGUAGAUAUAUGGAGGAACACCGGUGGCGAAAGCGGCUCUCUGGUCUGUAACUGACGCUGAGGCUCGAAAGCGUGGGGAGCAAACAGG